ACACCUUUAGCUUAAUUAGGUAAAGCGUUUACCUUCGAAGUAAUUGUUUAUUGGUUCAAUUCCGAUAAGGUGUC
RNAcentral lists this transfer RNA (74 nucleotides) under Myochromella boudieri. RNAcentral's name for it is "tRNA-Arg". It matches the Rfam family "tRNA". Rfam says of the family: Transfer RNA (tRNA) molecules are approximately 80 nucleotides in length. The record is from RNAcentral. Lineage: Eukaryota; Fungi; Basidiomycota; Agaricomycetes; Agaricales; Lyophyllaceae.